CAGCCGCCACGGUAAUACGAAGGGUGCAAGCGUUACUCGGAAUUACUGGGCGUAAAGCGUGUGUAGGUGGUUGUUUAAGUCUGUCGUGAAAGCCCUGGGCUCAACCUGGGAAUUGCGACGGAUACUGGGCGACUAGAGUGCGGUAGAGGAUAGUGGAAUUUCCGGUGUAGCAGUGAAAUGCGUAGAGAUCGGAAGGAACAUCUGUGGCGAAGGCGACUAUCUGGGCCAACACUGACACUGAGACACGAAAGCGUGGGGAGCAAACAGGAUUAGAUACCCCUGUAGUCCCUGUCUCUUAUAC
RNAcentral lists this ribosomal RNA (301 nucleotides) under uncultured bacterium. RNAcentral describes it as "partial 16S ribosomal RNA". It matches the Rfam family "Bacterial small subunit ribosomal RNA", at positions 509 to 807 of the family's 1533-position model. The record is from RNAcentral.